This 920-nucleotide long non-coding RNA is filed under the name Chinchilla lanigera (long-tailed chinchilla). RNAcentral's name for it is "lncRNA (ENSCLAG00000024692.1)". Lineage: Eukaryota; Metazoa; Chordata; Mammalia; Rodentia; Chinchillidae. The record is from RNAcentral.
CAAGGUUAGGGAAGUGGCAGGAAACUUUGGAAUGCAGGCAGCUGAGGUCAUGUGCUGUGUUGAUGUGCUUGUUGUGGCUUGUGUCUAGAUGUCCCCAAAGCUGCGUGGGCCUUUCUCAGACGUGGCUGAACCUAGAAUGUGUGAUUGAUUCAUGGUACUAUGCUAGGAUUAAGAGUGCUGGGAUUUAGGGUGAGUGGUUACUAAAUCAGUCCGCUGAUUGGAUUGGCACGGCCCGAAUCCGUAGCCUGGAUACAACAUAAGGGACAGAAGGAGGAUUGUCUUGUCCCUUGCUUAUUUGCUUUGCUACCUUCUGCCUACUAGGAAUGUUUCCCCCUGUGACGCCUGUCCCUGCCUCAGAGCCAACCAACUAUGGACUGAAACCUCUGCAGACUGUGAGCUAAAUAAACCUUUCCCCCUUUCACGUUAGGUGUCAGGUACUUCCUCUCAGCAACAAAAGUAACUAAGACAGAGCUCGUUCUUCUGUACGUUUAUUUCUGGCAUCUGCGAGGCCCCAGAGAGCAGGGGAAUACAUUAGACGCUUUUUUUUCCCCCCCUAACAUUGUGGUGAUCAUGGCCGCUGCCAGACAGGGUAGGCAGACCCCAGACGGACCUCACAGAGGCAGACGCAGCCGUUUUCAUCCAUCGCCGGCAGAGGAGGAGCACGCGUUCCCGUGCCCGUUUCCGUGCCCAUCCUCCUGUUUCUGAGAAAACACAGAGAUGAAAAGAAACACGUCCAGCCGCUGCCCGUCCCAGGACAGGAGCCGGGAGGAGUCGCCAAGGAGACGUCCGUCCCUGCGUGUGGCGGUGUUGGGCGUGGUCGUCCGGUGCGGGCCGUCACGGAUGUGAUGGUCAGCAGAGGGGCCUGCAGGCAGAGGUCACGGGGAGGUCAGGGCCAGGUGUGCACCGUGAUCACCUAGAGA